CGAAAGUAAGACUAAUACCCAAUGACGUCUCUAGAAGACAUCUGAAAGGGAUUAAAGAUUCAUCGGUAACGGAUGGGGAUGCGUCCGAUUAGGUAGUAGGCGGGGUAACGGCCCACCUAGCCUUCGAUCGGUAGGGGUUCUGAGAGGAAGGUCCCCCACAUUGGAACUGAGACACGGUCCAAACUCCUACGGGAGGCAGCAGUGAGGAAUAUUGGUCAAUGGGCGCAAGCCUGAACCAGCCAAGUAGCGUGAAGGAUGACUGCCCUAUGGGUUGUAAACUUCUUUUAUGCGGGAAUAACCUCGACCAUGUAUGGUCGUUUGCAUGUACCGCAAGAAAAAGCAUCGGCUAAUUCCGUG
RNAcentral lists this ribosomal RNA (357 nucleotides) under uncultured bacterium. RNAcentral's name for it is "bacterial SSU rRNA". It matches the Rfam family "Bacterial small subunit ribosomal RNA", at positions 152 to 507 of the family's 1533-position model. The record is from RNAcentral.